AUGCUCCUCCUAAAGAUUAAGCCAUGCAUGCGUCGGAAUUAGAGUAUGGCGACUCUCUCUGAAUCUGCGAACGGCUCCGCAAACCAGUUGUAAUCCGCGGCGAGUCCGCCCGCGGAAGCCGGGAGGCCGAGAGGCCGCCCGGUGGAAGCGGGCGACAAGGCAAACCCUGGCAAUCCUGUGGCUAAUACUUGACCGUAAGCCCCGCGGGCCUGAGCUCCCCCCCUCCUAACAAAACCCUAAACCCUAACCCCAAACCCUCGUCCGUGUUCGGUCGGGCGGCGGGGGGCGGGCGGCGGGCGGCGGGGCGKGAUCGAUCAGACGCGGGGGGCGCGCGGGCACCCAUUGACCACAGCGACGGGACGCGUAUAAUAAACAAAUCCCACGCCGGGAGUGCACGCACGCUCGAACCGCGACACAAAAGGGACGUGUGCCGACGGCCCCGUUCUCCCAUUCCCCCACAGUUCCCCAGGGCUUCCAACCCUCUUCCCUGCGGGGUCGAGCGUUAGGGAGCGGCGGGAGCUCGGGACCUGGGGUUCGGGGUCGGGAGCUGAGCCCCCGCGGGCCUCGCUUCGGGCUUCUGACCUAUCAACUGCACAGCAGUGAAAGGGACGUGCUGUGGUUACAACGGGUACAGAGGAUUAGGGUUCGAUCCUGGAGAGUGGGCCUGAGAGAUCGCUCACACUUCUAAGGAAGGCAGCAGGCGCGUAACGUUCCCACUGGGCGAUGCCCGAGGGCGUUAUGGGAAAUAUGAAUGCCCGCCUAUGGCGGGCAAUUCAAAUGGGUGCGUUCCAAACCGCCCU
RNAcentral lists this ribosomal RNA (800 nucleotides) under Fuligo muscorum. Its description in RNAcentral is "SSU rRNA". The record is from RNAcentral. Lineage: Eukaryota; Evosea; Eumycetozoa; Physariida; Physaraceae.